Molecule: microRNA, 23 nt
Filed under: Eisenia fetida (common brandling worm)
Lineage: Eukaryota; Metazoa; Annelida; Clitellata; Crassiclitellata; Lumbricidae
Description: Efe-Mir-7-P12_3p* (star (passenger))
Source: RNAcentral
CAACGAGUCCACGUCUUCAAAGA